Molecule: ribosomal RNA, 274 nt
Filed under: uncultured bacterium
Lineage: Bacteria
Description: partial 16S ribosomal RNA
Rfam family: Bacterial small subunit ribosomal RNA
Source: RNAcentral
AUACGAAGGGGGCUAGCGUUGUUCGGAAUUACUGGGCGUAAAGCGCGCGUAGGCGGACUGAUCAGUUGGGGGUGAAAUCCCAGGGCUUAACCCUGGAACUGCCUCCAAUACUGUCAGUCUUGAGUUCGGGAGAGGUGAGUGGAAUUCCUAGUGUAGAGGUGAAAUUCGUAGAUAUUAGGAAGAACACCAGUGGCGAAGGCGGCUCUCUGGCUCGAUACUGACGCUGAGGUGCGAAAGCGUGGGGAGCAAACAGGAUUAGAAACCCUAGUAGUCC